GCGUCUGCGCAGGGGUUCAGUAGUGGCUGCAGGCAUUAGACGUAUUGAGCAGAUUUUAUGGCCUGAUGGAAUAUUCAUAACAAAGCAUCCAAGUCGACAACGUCCUACACCAUCUGCCAUUCAAUCUGUUGGUUCUCCACAAAACCAUCCUCCUACUCCAUCUGCCAGUCCAUCCAUUGGUUCUCCACAAAACCAACCUCCUACUCCAUCAUCAUCACCAAUGGCAGAGGAUAUCCGGAAACUGGAUGAGAAGCAACAGAAGGAAGCUGAACAGCG
RNAcentral lists this unclassified non-coding RNA (276 nucleotides) under Hevea brasiliensis (rubber tree). Lineage: Eukaryota; Viridiplantae; Streptophyta; Magnoliopsida; Malpighiales; Euphorbiaceae. The record is from RNAcentral.